AUGGAUCUGUCUACAUUAUCUAAUCUUUCAAGAGACAACUCUUCAUUGAUUUUUUUGUAUUUUGUACUUAAUGUCAAUUGCAUUAACUUCUGCUCUGAUCUUUAUACUUUCCGUCUUUGUAUGAACUUUGGGUUUAACGUAUUCUUUUUUUUCUAGAAACUUGAGUUCAAUAUUAUGUUGUUUCUUUGACCUACUCCAUUUGUCUGAUGUGAGAAUUCAGUGCUACAAACUUCCCCCACACAACUGCUUUCAUUGUGUCACAUAAUUUUCAGUGUGUGAUAUUGGUAUUAUUUAAUCAUAAAAACUAUUUAAUUUCUUCUUUAAUGUUCUCUGCGACCUAUUGUACAAUGAAAAAAACAUAGACAUAGGAGUUCAAAAGAGGGGAAGUGAUCCAGCAGGACUGGCCCAAAGGUCCUCUGCCCUUGCCUAGCACGGAAACAGCUAUUUUGAGACAUUCCCAGAUAGCUGGUGGGAUCAGGACAGUUUGACGGAGUCUAGCUUCGUAGGACAGACUUGUGGUACAUGAGCCCUUCGUCCCAUUGCUUCCUCUCCAAACACAGAAGGAGCUUCGACUUGGCAGCAUUUUUGCCAGCACACCCAGGAGCUGCUUCCACCUACUCAUUUGUUCGCAGACUCUGAGAAGAUAAACAACCGAGAGCUGCUUGUGCCAUGAGUCUUCAGCCUUGGAUCCCAGGCACAUCUGAGUCACUUCCAGGAGCCUCUUGUUUAUCGCACACAGUUCUGGCUUGCAGACAUUCAUCAAGGAGUACGGAUGUCCUCUCUGCUUCCUGUCAUCACACACUUGCCCACCAGAUACCUGUGAGCAGAAC
Molecule: long non-coding RNA, 830 nt
Filed under: Fukomys damarensis (Damara mole-rat)
Lineage: Eukaryota; Metazoa; Chordata; Mammalia; Rodentia; Bathyergidae
Description: lncRNA (ENSFDAG00000023904.1)
Source: RNAcentral